AGUAACACGUGAGGAACCUGCCCCGAAGACCGGGAUAACCCUCCGAAAGGAGAGCUAAUACCGGAUGCCCUCAUUGAAUCGCAUGAUUCGAUGAGGAAAUGGAUUCCGCUUCGGGAGGGCCUCGCGGCCUAUCAGCUUGUUGGUGGGGUAAUGGCCCACCAAGGCUACGACGGGUAGCUGGUCUGAGAGGACGAUCAGCCACACUGGGACUGAGACACGGCCCAG
RNAcentral lists this ribosomal RNA (225 nucleotides) under uncultured bacterium. RNAcentral's name for it is "partial 16S ribosomal RNA". It matches the Rfam family "Bacterial small subunit ribosomal RNA", at positions 109 to 334 of the family's 1533-position model. The record is from RNAcentral.